This 557-nucleotide ribosomal RNA is filed under the name uncultured bacterium. Its description in RNAcentral is "bacterial SSU rRNA". It matches the Rfam family "Bacterial small subunit ribosomal RNA", at positions 102 to 694 of the family's 1533-position model. The record is from RNAcentral.
ACGGGUGAGUAACGCGUGGGAAUCUACCGUGCCCUGCGGAAUAGCUCCGGGAAACUGGAAUUAAUACCGCAUACGCCCUACGGGGGAAAGAUUUAUCGGGGUAUGAUGAGCCCGCGUUGGAUUAGCUAGUUGGUGGGGUAAAGGCCUACCAAGGCGACGAUCCAUAGCUGGUCUGAGAGGAUGAUCAGCCACAUUGGGACUGAGACACGGCCCAAACUCCUACGGGAGGCAGCAGUGGGGAAUAUUGGACAAUGGGCGCAAGCCUGAUCCAGCCAUGCCGCGUGAGUGAUGAAGGCCUUAGGGUUGUAAAGCUCUUUCACCGGUGAAGAUAAUGACGGUAACCGGAGAAGAAGCCCCGGCUAACUUCGUGCCAGCAGCCGCGGUAAUACGAAGGGGGCUAGCGUUGUUCGGAAUUACUGGGCGUAAAGCGCACGUAGGCGGAUAUUUAAGUCAGGGGUGAAAUCCCAGAGCUCAACUCUGGAACUGCCUUUGAUACUGGGUAUCUUGAGUAUGGAAGAGGUAAGUGGAAUUGCGAGUGUAGAGGUGAAAUUCGUAGA